UUAAUUGAGGAACCAUUACCAUGAGCUUCCAAGAGAGAGAGAUCCAAGAUACAUUGAGGAGUCUUUCCAAGAGUUCAUUUGAUUGUUGAUUGCUUGAGUUUACGCUUACUUGCUUGUUUAUUCCAAAGGAUGGGAGCUACUUGGAUCAUCAAUAUGAUCUCAAGAGAGGAACUCCAUUGUGGUUUUGCUUCUUAUCCCUCACCUUUCUGCUUUGCUUAGGAUUUUAGCCCUUCUUCUUCUUCUUCUC
Molecule: long non-coding RNA, 247 nt
Filed under: Lathyrus oleraceus (garden pea)
Lineage: Eukaryota; Viridiplantae; Streptophyta; Magnoliopsida; Fabales; Fabaceae
Description: Pisum sativum (pea) long non-coding RNA (PSAT_LNC016822)
Source: RNAcentral